RNAcentral lists this ribosomal RNA (478 nucleotides) under uncultured bacterium. Its description in RNAcentral is "bacterial SSU rRNA". It matches the Rfam family "Bacterial small subunit ribosomal RNA", at positions 30 to 542 of the family's 1533-position model. The record is from RNAcentral.
AUUGAACGCUGGCGGCAUGGCUAAAACAUGCAAGUCGAGCGCGAAAGAGGAGCAAUCCUCAAGUAGAGCGGCGAAAGGGUGAGUAAUACGUUCCUACGUACCUCGAGGUCAGGGAUAGCCAGGGGAAACUCUGGGUAAUACCUGAUGUGGUCGAGAGAUCAAAGGCUUGCCGCCUUGAGAGCGGGGAACGUCCUAUCAGCUAGUUGGUGAGGUAACGGCUCACCAAGGCUAUGACGGGUAGCGGGUGUGAGAGCAUGGCCCGCCACAUCGGAACUGAGACACUGUCCGGGCUCCUACGGGAGGCUGCAGUAACGAAUCUUCCGCAAUGCGCGCAAGCGUGACGGAGCAAUGCCGCGUGCAGGAUGAAGCCCUUGGGGUGUAAACUGCUGUCAGGGUUUAGAAACACAAUGAUCAAACCCAAAGGAAGAGACGACUAACUCUGUGCCAGCAGUCGCGGUAAUACAGAGCCUCGAGCGUU